This is a long non-coding RNA of Myotis davidii, 1327 nucleotides long. RefSeq lists it as uncharacterized. The record is from RefSeq and is a predicted model, not a curated record. The transcript is spliced from 3 exons. Lineage: Eukaryota; Metazoa; Chordata; Mammalia; Chiroptera; Vespertilionidae.
CCUCCCUGAAGCCACUGACCUGUGGGCCCAGCCCCGUGGGAACCUGCGCCCGGAGGCGGGGGCCAGCCCUGCUGCCCGCCUCGCGCCUGUCUCAUUCCUCUGGGGCGUGAUUGGGUGCACCUGGGGUGGCAUCUCGGGUUAUAGAUUUGGCUACAAUGGCAAUCAGUAACAAAGACCCCAUGACCACUCUCCUACAAUGUGACUUUUUAUUUGGGGGCAAAAUAAUGUCACCCGUUUGUCUGUAGACCCACACUCUCCGGAUCGCUCACCCUCCGACAAGCUCACAGAGGUCGGUGCAUUUGCACUCCCAGAGGCAAAUCAAGAAGUAAUUAUAGAAGAAGUUUUCUAGCGCCUCACACCGUCACACCUCCGACAGGAGCUGUGAAACGGCAAGAAACAGUUGCCCCAGCUGUGUCUGCAAACCGACUGCACCGGAAGCAGAGACCAGACGGUCCGCACUUGUCCCUGGACACGAGCCAUGGCCAGGUCUAGAUGAUCUGUCUGUGCUUUAAAGCGCACGGAAAAGAAACAAGAGAAAGAUGGAGAGGAGAAAGGGGAGCUGUUCAAAUUCCAAACAUCUGGCAAAGAGCCCAGCUGCAGCUCACCCUACCCUCAGAGGAUGAUACUGAAAGUAACCCCGUCUCGGAAGUUCAUGGAAUUAACAAAGAGGGAGGGGAAGGGGCAGGGACAUUGAUGUAUAUUGAAGGCUUCAUUUAUUCCAGGCUGUGGGCUGGGGAUCUAGCGUACCACAAACUCAUUAACCUUGGUGACAACCCUAUCACCAUCACUUCAGCUGCAUUAUCUACUGCAGCUUAGCAAACCACCCUGAGCCUCAGCGGCUCCCAGUUCUGUGGGUGGACCGUGCUCAGCUGGGCAGUUCUCGCCUGGGACCUCUCAUGUGGUCGCUGUCAGAUGGCAGCUGGGGUUGGAGUCCUCCGAAUGCUCACCUGGGCUGGACACCACGAUGGCUUCUUCGCGCACACGACUGCAUUUCGGCUGGAACGCCAGGACAGCUGGCACUAGCCAGCCUCUCCCUCUAUCUGGCCUCUCCAGUAGCAGCUCAGGUGCCUUCAUAGCAUGGCGGGCGACUUCCCGUAGACCUCUUUCCAGAAGGACAGACCCUGGUGUGGUCUGCAGCUUCCCAACACCUGGUCCAUUGCUCCUGUGCCUUUCGUGGUAGGUUGGAGAGGACCGACGGACUGGUAAGGAAAGGGUGGCUGCCUGUGAUGCGGAUUGCAAAGGAGCAGGAAACAGGAAGUGUGCCCCCUUCAUCUGUUUGUAAUCAUCUUUUUCAAUUUUAAAAAAUUUAAAAGAACCGUGAUUUGGA